RNAcentral lists this transfer RNA (72 nucleotides) under Sedimentisphaerales bacterium. RNAcentral describes it as "tRNA-Thr". It matches the Rfam family "tRNA". From Rfam's summary of the family: Transfer RNA (tRNA) molecules are approximately 80 nucleotides in length. The record is from RNAcentral. Lineage: Bacteria; Pseudomonadati; Planctomycetota; Phycisphaerae; Sedimentisphaerales.
GCCGAUGUGGCUCAACGGUAGAGCACGGCUUUCGUAAAGCCGGGGUUGAGGGUUCAAAUCCCUCCAUCGGCU